GCAAAGGCAUAAGCCAGCUUGACUGUGAGAGUGACGGCUCGAGCAGGUACGAAAGUAGGUCUUAGUGAUCCGGUGGUUCUGAAUGGAAGGGCCAUCGCUCAACGGAUAAAAGGUACUCCGGGGGAUAACAGGCUGAUACCGCCCAAGAGUUCAUAUCGACGGCGGUGUUUGGCACCUCGAUGUCGGCUCAUCACAUCCUGGGG
This 203-nucleotide ribosomal RNA is filed under the name Shigella sp. FC1967. RNAcentral describes it as "partial 23S ribosomal RNA". It matches the Rfam family "Bacterial large subunit ribosomal RNA", at positions 2351 to 2552 of the family's 2925-position model. Lineage: Bacteria; Pseudomonadati; Pseudomonadota; Gammaproteobacteria; Enterobacterales; Enterobacteriaceae. The record is from RNAcentral.